AGUCGAACGCUUCUUUUUCCGCCGGAGCUUGCUCCACCGGAAAAAGAAGAGUGUCGAACGGGUGAGUAACACGUGGGUAACCUGCCCAUCAGAAGGGGAUAACACUUGGAAACAGGUGCUAAUACCGUAUAACAAUCAAAACCGCAUGGUUUUGAUUUGAAAGGCGCUUUCGGGUGUCGCUGAUGGAUGGACCCGCGGUGCAUUAGCUAGUUGGUGAGGUAACGGCUCACCAAGGCCACGAUGCAUAGCCGACCUGAGAGGGUGAUCGGCCACAUUGGGACUGAGACACGGCCCAAACUCCUACGGGAGGCAGCAGUAGGGAAUCUUCGGCAAUGGACGAAAGUCUGACCGAGCAACGCCGCGUGAGUGAAGAAGGUUUUCGGAUCGUAAAACUCUGUUGUUAGAGAAGAACAAGGAUGAGAGUAACUGUUCAUCCCUUGACGGUAUCUAACCAGAAAGCCACGGCUAACUACGUGCCAGCAGCCGCGGUAAUACGUAGGUGGCAAGCGUUGUCCGGAUUUAUUGGGCGUAAAGCGAGCGCAGGCGGUUUCUUAAGUCUGAUGUGAAAGCCCCCGGCUCAACCGGGGAGGGUCAUUGGAAACUGGGAGACUUGAGUGCAGAAGAGGAGAGUGGAAUUCCAUGUGUAGCGGUGAAAUGCGUAGAUAUAUGGAGGAACACC
This 679-nucleotide ribosomal RNA is filed under the name uncultured bacterium. Its description in RNAcentral is "bacterial SSU rRNA". It matches the Rfam family "Bacterial small subunit ribosomal RNA", at positions 60 to 710 of the family's 1533-position model. The record is from RNAcentral.